Molecule: long non-coding RNA, 1631 nt
Organism: Numida meleagris (helmeted guineafowl)
Lineage: Eukaryota; Metazoa; Chordata; Aves; Galliformes; Numididae
Source: Ensembl
GAAUUUUCUUCCUAAGGAUCUUGAAUAAAAAUGACUCUGAUGAAAAACUACACGAAGAUACUACCCAGCUACUACAUGACUAUUAAAAAAACAAAAAGAUUUGUACCUUGUCACCUUGCAGUUAAUUUGUAAUGUAGCUGAUCUAAGCAAGACAAGCUAUUUAGGCUCCAUUACAGUCAAUAGACAAUGAUAUGCACCUGCAGAAGGCAUUUUCUUUUUGUCCACAUUAGAGAACAGAAAAUUGUGGUCACAGAAGCAGAGAAGUGAAGUAAAGGAGGAGGAUGCAAUCCUGAUAGGAAAGUGAAACAACCAGCCACAGGAAGAAUGCACAGAAAAUGGUUGCAUUAUGAUAAUGGUGCUAUAUUGAUUUUACAGCAUCCUGCUAAGGAAUCUUAGAAAGACUUUGACAAGAAGGUUGUCAUGUGUUCCCCUCUCCAGCAUCAAUUGUAUCAUCACUUUUGAAAGCUGCAGAGCAUUUCUACAGCAUGAAAAUGGAUUACAGCUGAAGAAGAAGAGUGCUGGCCUGUGUCACCUGCUCUAUUUUCAGUGCGGCUAAUAACUAAUGAGACUAAUAGAAACUUUCGGGUCCUUCUAACUGGGAGUGAACAUGGUAUGGAAGACAUGUCCAUCGCUACAUUUUGCCAGCAUUGAUAGCAUAUGUCCUUGCCUUGAAGUUGAACAGGACCAUGCUCAGAAAAUUUAUUUUGUUCGCAACAAUUGUAAAUCAGCCCUGUAGACUGUCUCAUCGUAUAAUCCUACCAGCACAACUCUGAGUACAACCAAGGAGGAAGAAGGCAAGAAGCAGGUGUAGAAACUGUGGAAGAAUGCCCUGGUAUACUUUGUCUCAAUUUUUGAUGAUCCUAGUUGUUUUACCUCCAGCAUCUUGGGCUGCAGUACUACCUCUACUAUCUUUCAAAUGAUCUGCUUUUCAUCGGCAAAGAAAAAAUAUGUUUACGGUGCAAAAAGCUUAGAAAAGAGUUUGAAAGUAUAUUUAGCUAAGCAAUUCACAACUGUUUUGUCUUGCUGUACUCAGUAAUUAUCACUUAGAAACAAAACAAACGUUGCUUGUGCGCCUUAAGGUGAACUCCUGAGCCAAUUAGCAUACAGCAUUUUUAUCAUGCUUACUGAUUUCACUGGCAUAACACAUGACAUGAACUUAGCAUAAGUUAGAGCACUACUGGAAAGAGGGUAUAACAUUGGAUCAGGAGUGAGUUUUAACAAAGAAAGGCUACUUUACAGGUAUAUAAUCAUAUACAUAAUUGUGCUAAAGCAAAGAGUUGCAAUAACAUUGAAGAAAGGAUAAAGAAAAUGGAAGAUGUGCUAAUCAAAAGUCAAGGGGAUAAAGGAAGGUAAGAAAGUGAGAUGAUGAAGUGAGAAACAGGAAAAAAAAAAAGGUUAAAAAGAUGGAUUGUAACUUUGUAGUGUUGUAUAAUGGAGUAAAAAUGGAAAGGAAAAGGAAUUUUUAACAGCUUGAAUUUAAAGCCACAUGUAUAAAUUUACUUUUUAUGAGAGCGGCAAACAACAGCUGAGCCUUAUGGGUUAGUAAAUGUUGCUAUGUAAAAUCAAAAUUCCUUUGUAAUUUUGCUGACUUAUUUAAUAAAAUUAAUCUGAAUUUCUCUGAUAGUAUUUAA